AAGCUUGGUCCUGACUUUAAUGUCAGCUUUGAUUGAAUUUAUACAUGCAAGUAUCUGCAACCCUGUGAGAAUGCCCUACUUGUCCCUAUAACACGGAAAGGAGGAGCAGACAUCAGGCACCACCUAGUAUUAGCCCACGACGUCUUGCUUAGCCACACCCCCAAGGGGAUCCAGCAGUAAUAAACAUUAAGCAAUGAGUGAAAACUUGACUUAGUUAAAAUCAUGCAGGGCCGGUCAAACUCGUGCCAGCCACCGCGGUUAUACGAGCGGCCCGAGUUGACAAAAUCGGCGUAAAGGGUGGUUAAUGCAUAAAAAACUAAGGCCGAACACCUUCACGGCUGUCACACGCAUCCGAAGGUAGGAAGAACCCCUACGAAAGUGGCCUUAACCACUUAUGAAUCCACGAAAGCUAGGAGACAAACUGGGAUUAGAUACCCCACUAUGCCUAGCCCUAAACAUUGAUACUCCAAUACACUGUAUUCGCCAGGGAACAACGAGCUCCGGCUUAAAACCCAAAGGACUUGGCGGUGCUUUAGACCCCCCUAGAGGAGCCUGUUCUAGAACCGAUACUCCCCGUUCAACCUCACCCUCUCUUGUUUUCCCCGCCUAUAUACCGCCGUCGUCAGCUUACCCUGUGAAGGUAAAACAGUAAGCAGAAUUGGCAUAGCCUAAAACGUCAGGUCGAGGUGUAGCGUACGAGAGGGGAAGAAAUGGGCUACAUUUACUCUGCUCAGUAAAUACGGAUGUUGUACUGAAAACCCAUCUGAAGGAGGAUUUAGCAGUAAGGAGGGAAUAGAGCGCCCCCCUGAAAAUGGCCCUGAAGCGCGCACACACCGCCCGUCACUCUCCCC
This 851-nucleotide non-coding RNA is filed under the name Parioglossus dotui. RNAcentral describes it as "partial 12S ribosomal RNA". It matches the Rfam family "Bacterial small subunit ribosomal RNA". Lineage: Eukaryota; Metazoa; Chordata; Actinopteri; Gobiiformes; Gobiidae. The record is from RNAcentral.